RNAcentral lists this ribosomal RNA (253 nucleotides) under uncultured bacterium. Its description in RNAcentral is "partial 16S ribosomal RNA". It matches the Rfam family "Bacterial small subunit ribosomal RNA", at positions 524 to 776 of the family's 1533-position model. The record is from RNAcentral.
UACGUAGGGUGCAAGCGUUGUCCGGAAUUAUUGGGCGUAAAGAGCUCGUAGGCGGUUUGUCGCGUCUGCUGUGAAAACCCGAGGCUCAACCUCGGGCCUGCAGUGGGUACGGGCAGACUAGAGUGCGGCAGGGGAGAUUGGAAUUCCUGGUGUAGCGGUGGAAUGCGCAGAUAUCAGGAGGAACACCAAUGGCGAAGGCAGCUCGCUGGGACGUUACUGACACUGAGGCGCGAAAGCGUGGGGAGCGAACAGG